Arachis ipaensis is the source of this 545-nucleotide non-coding RNA. NCBI's taxonomy places the organism in Eukaryota, Viridiplantae, Streptophyta, Magnoliopsida, Fabales, Fabaceae. The record is from RefSeq and is a predicted model, not a curated record.
ACAAAUAUUUUUUAUAAAUGAGUCUUUUAAGUUUAAUAUUAAUCUACAUAUUAUCUAAUUAAUUUAUGAACAAUAUAAUACUUUUAAAUUUAUAGUAUAUAGUAUAAUCAAUUUAGCUCUCCGCACAUCGGAUGGAUUUGAUGGAAGAUGGACAAGGGGUGAAAGACAGAGGAAUACCUAAGAGGACCAUCCAUGAGGUGGUCAAAUGAGAUCUACAUGUAAACGGUCUCUCUGUAGAUAUGAUACAUGACAGAGCUCAAUGGUGUCGUUUGAUUCAUGUAGCCGACCCCACCUAGUGGGACAAGGCUUUGUUGUUGUUGUUGUUGUUGCAUCGGAUGGAUGGGAGUCUAGUAUGUAUUAUUUUGAUAGUUUAAUCAGGUUUUGUCUUAAAAAGGUUCUAAAUCAAUUACAAUCAUGCCAUCAUGGAGAAUUUGUCACUGCAUGAUGAAUGUGUGCUCAUUUAUCUAAUGCUGUUAUGUUUAUUAGCCCCUAAGAAAGCCAGUCUAUAAGGCCUUUUUACCUAAUUCGAGAUUGAUUAAAUAGAA